Molecule: ribosomal RNA, 229 nt
Filed under: uncultured bacterium
Lineage: Bacteria
Description: partial 16S ribosomal RNA
Rfam family: Bacterial small subunit ribosomal RNA
Source: RNAcentral
GACGAACGCUGGCGGCGUGCUUAACACAUGCAAGUCGAGCGGUAAGGCCUCUUCGGGGGUACACGAGCGGCGAACGGGUGAGUAACACGUGGGUGACCUACCCUCAGCUCUGGGAUAAGCCUGGGAAACUGGGUCUAAUACCGGGAUAUGACUACAUGUCGCAUGGUGUGUGGUGGAAAGUUUGUCCUUUAUUGGGCACUUCGGUUGGGGAUGGGCCCGCGGCCUAUCA